GAUGAACGCUGGCGGUCUGCUUAACACAUGCAAGUCGAACGGAAUCUUCGGAUUUAGUGGCGGACGGGUGAGUAACGCGUGAGAAUCUGCCUUCAGGUUGGGGACAACAGUUGGAAACGACUGCUAAUACCCAAUGUGCCGAGAGGUGAAAGCUUUAGUGCCUGAGGAUGAGCUCGCGUCUGAUUAGCUAGUUGGAGUGGUAAUGGCACACCAAGGCGACGAUCAGUAGCUGGUCUGAGAGGAUGAUCAGCCACACUGGGACUGAGACACGGCCCAGACUCCUACGGGAGGCAGCAGUGGGGAAUUUUCCGCAAUGGGCGCAAGCCUGACGGAGCAAGACCGCGUGAGGGAGGAAGGCUCUUGGGUUGUAAACCUCUUUUAUCAGGGAAGAAGAUCUGACGGUACCUGAUGAAUCAGCAUCGGCUAACUCCGUGCCAGCAGCCGCGGUAAUACGGAGGAUGCAAGCGUUAUCCGGAUUUAUUGGGCGUAAAGCGUCCGCAGGUGGUUUUUCAAGUCUGCUGUUAAAGCGCGAGGCUUAACCUCGUACAGGCAGUGGAAACUGAAUGACUAGAGUAUGGUAGGGGUAGCGGGAAUUCCCAGUGUAGCGGUGAAAUGCGUAGAUAUUGGGAAGAACACCAGCGGCGAAAGCGCGCUACUGGGCCAUUACUGACACUCAUGGACGAAAGCUAGGGGAGCGAAAGGGAUUAGAUACCCCUGUAGUCCUAGCUGUAAACGAUGGAUACUAGGUGUUGCCCG
RNAcentral lists this ribosomal RNA (756 nucleotides) under uncultured cyanobacterium. RNAcentral describes it as "bacterial SSU rRNA". It matches the Rfam family "Bacterial small subunit ribosomal RNA", at positions 28 to 829 of the family's 1533-position model. Lineage: Bacteria; Bacillati; Cyanobacteriota. The record is from RNAcentral.